Molecule: long non-coding RNA, 2169 nt
Organism: Triticum aestivum (bread wheat)
Lineage: Eukaryota; Viridiplantae; Streptophyta; Magnoliopsida; Poales; Poaceae
Exons: 8
Source: RefSeq, a predicted model, not a curated record
CAACCCUUAAAAAAAAAAAAACUCCCCCCAAACAAACACGCUGCCAAUCUUUGCCGCCGCCGCCGAUCCCCACCCCCACCGGUGACCUCGUCUCCCCAUCCCCGGCCCCAUCCCCACCUCUGGCCGACCUCCCUCCUCAUCUCGUCCAUCCACCCAUGGAAACCUCCUUUUCCACGGAUCUACACACCCACCCACGCCCACCCAUGGAUGGAUGGAUGGAUGGGGCGCACCAGUUCUGGCGACGGCGACGCCGGAUCCACACCCACCUGCACAAUGGAGGCCUGCCGCAUCGGGAUCCACCGCCUGCUCUCGGUCUGGUGCGGCACACCGGACCACACCGGAGAUUGCUACUGCGGUGGCCGUCGACGACAGCGCAUCUCUGGCGGGACCUAGAUGCCCAAGGCAUGCAUCCGUGGUUGGUGACCUUGCGUGCCGCCAUUGCCGGAGGCUGGCUGGUUGGACGGGCAUCCGGAAUGCCGGUGUUUGCAGCCUUACAUCUCAGGGAAGACGCUUGCUAAAAUGUGUGCAUGCCAAGAUUCCUACAGUUCCAGACUGAUUAGUGAGCUUACACUUCUAAGGGUGGAUCGAUUAGCAUACUCUGCCUACUGAAUGCCAGUCUGAGAGGUAGCAUCUGCUAUCGUCAGGUUAUAUAAGCUCGUGUGGAUGGGAGGUGGAUGCCAGCACGGAUCCAGUGUCUCCGACCUCGGCAUCCACAAGGAGGAGCGGCGACAAUUACAUACCCAACCAUGGGGCAGCAGCAAUUCAUUGUUGAGCCUCCCUCUACCUCUCUCACAUUCCCUUAUUUUGCUGCUGCUCUAAAUUCACUUUCACUUGAUUGAAUCUAGUGCUACUGCUGUCAGUCCCUAGUCCCUAGUGCUACUGCUCUAAAUUCACUUGCAUGUUUGACUAAAUCAUAAAAGAAUGAAUAGGUGUUGGCUCUAGAGUGCUAGCUCGUAUACUCUAGCAGGCGAAGCACGUACGUGCAAGCUAACUUCAACAAAGCAGACUAGUAGCUUAAUUGAUUAUUUGUUAGCUAGUAGUACUCGGACGUGCAGUCUCACGUAUACGUACGAGCUUAGCAGAGCUAGCUAAGCUAGCGACUGAUCGAUCUGACUUCUUGCGGCCGACCGUAGCGACUUUGUAACUCAGCGAACUGAAAAACGAUGGAGAUUUUGUGGAUAGCCACAGGGGCGUGUCGCUCCUGGAUUUCUUUGUAUUGCUUUGAUCGACUUAGAAAGAUUACAAUGGCUGGGUGCACUUAUGAUGCACUUAGUGUGCCACCUCCAGAUGACUGACUGACUGUGUAUUUGUACUAGCGCGUGCUGACGAAGCAGGAACACACCCAAUGCCUUGGCAGGAACACAGAGUUGCGGAGAGCAGCAGCUCGCAAUCGUGGUCAGGGACCGACCGUCCGAGAGUAGACCGUGGAGACGUGGAGUUCAGUCCAGGAAGUUCCUUGACAUUGCAGUCACGUAGAUUUUGCUGGUUGUGGCAUUGCUUGAAAUUGGGUUAUUGGAUAGCUGAAGCUGCGUUGGAUUUCUUCUAAUUUACUCCAGGAGACGAAGACCACGCUUCAUGAAUUCAGGGCGCCGCCGAGGUGGUCAUGUGGGAUCCUCUCGAACAGCGCGUGCUCGCUGUCGACUUCGAUGGCAGGGUCACCCGCUCCAUCGGCCCCCUCUCCGGCGGGAUGUACUACUCGGGUUUCAUCCCCUACGUCAACUCAUACACAGAGAUCUACAUAUUGGCCAAGUGUUCGUCGAUCUGCAAGCCUGUUUAAGAGCUGGAUUGGCCGGUCCAAUUCAACACGGAACUAUGUGUCUGUUGAAACUUUUCGUCUAUCAAGUGUCGCCUCGCCGCCUCCGGCCACCCCGACGACGCCCUCGCCUUCGCCAACCUCCACUCCUCCAUGAGGUGUUUUGUUUCUUGCAAUUUGGAAGAGGAAGAUGAUGAAGCAUGGUUGUUAUCUAUCAAUAUGCCUUGUGUUCUGGUUGUACUUCAUAGCUAGUUACAUUGUAUUCUGUACUGGUCUGGUUGUAUGAACACUAUGUAAAGAUUGUAAUAGGCUAAUUUUGGCUAUCAUUUCGAGCAUAUAGUUAUGUUUCAUUUGAAAUAUUUGUCAUUUGUGUACUGUGAAAAUGUGAGAAAUAAAAAUAUGAUGAGUUGGACCUA